Molecule: non-coding RNA, 700 nt
Organism: Pelobates cultripes (western spadefoot toad)
Lineage: Eukaryota; Metazoa; Chordata; Amphibia; Anura; Pelobatidae
Source: the annotation of a GenBank genome assembly
CAAAUUAGAGUUUAAUGUAUUGUGCAUUAACAGAAAAUGCAUACAGUGGGAUAGAUUGAUUGCCAUCCUUUGCUGACCUACAGUACUUGCAUUAGAACAGAAAAAAAAAAAAAGCACCAAACCAUAACUUCUAUAUUUCAACUUAUCGAUUUGAAGUAGAGAUUUUAUGGUUUCUUUAACAAUGAAAAAUCAUGAAUUUCUAAGCCAGAUUUGAAUGUCAGUACUGGGCUAUGUAGCUUGCAUCAGUUUAACCUAUGUAAAGGUGAAUGAACUCUGAAGGUGAGUACACAAAUUAUUAUCAACGCAAAGAGAUCACUCCUAUACCAUAAGCACAGAAUUCAAGCGCUCUAUUUGACAACAUGCGCGUCAUUCUAUAGUUUGUGUAACCCUUAGAAAACCCAAGUAUGUUGCUGCUAAGUAAACAAGUGAUGCAGCAUUGAAUCCUCAUAUAAAAUAUUAGCUUCAUUAAUGUACUCAAUGUACAAUAUAUGCAUUAUACAUACACUACAUUUUUAUUUGCAAGUUGCGCAUAUCUGUAGAGAUUUGGAGAACACUGGUUUACUAAAUCUAUAAAGUACAUUUUUUUUUUUUUUUUUUAAAGCAAAGUCAUGUUAAAUAACAACCCACCCCACACAAAAAAUAAAUAAAAAUCAUGGCAUGGGUUUAAUGUGCUGGGUAAAUAACUUUUUGUAAUUCCCAG